CGACUCAGUCUUUAUUUUUAUUUUAUUUUUAUUUUUUUAAAAGAUUUUAUUUAUUUAUUUUAUUUAACAGAGAGAGAGAGAGAGAGGCAGAGACACAGGCAGAGGGAGAAGCAGGCUCCAUGCAGGGAGCCCGACGUGGGACUCGAUCCUUGGUCUCCAAGAUCACACCCCUGGCUGCAGGCGGCUCUAAACUGCUGCGCCACAGGGGCUGCCCUCGACUCUGUCUUUAAAGGGUAAACAGCCAGGUCAGAGGAUUUUGGAGUUUAAAAGUCUAGCCCCAGAUGGGACUCAGUCCACAUCUUUUUAUUUUACAGAUAAGAAAAAAUGAAAUUAGAGCCGGGAAGUGACUUGCCCAAGGCCAGAGGGCCAGAAGAGCUUCCUCUGUCUUCCGGAAACAUUCCAUCUCUUGGAGUUAGCUUUCCUCACCUAGAAAAUGCAGACACAAAGCCCUCUGGACAAGAGCCCAUGAAUAUUGUGAGAGGGCUUUGCAAACUGAAACGAGGGACUCAGGAGCUAAAGGUCCUGAGCUUCUGGAGCUGUCUCCCUUUGUUUGGAAAAUUUACCAGGAUGGGCCUUUAUACAAACACAGGCAAGUCCCCGCCUAUUGUCCUUGGGGAGGAGGGUGGGGUCACCCCAAUCUCUACACAGAACACUAGUGUAGUUCUCUUUCAUGAAGUGAGUCCGUGUCUUCUUAACAGACCUUCACCCUUGAGGAGUGAGAGAGAGAGACCGCCCUGGAGAGAGACUCCAAUGGGAUAGUAGAUGCCUCCUGGGGAGCUACUGAAGAUCAAAUAAUGGAGGCUAGGAAGCAUAACCUCGCCUAUCCUGAUGGAUACACUCAUCUAAUCCCCAUUUGACAAAAGAAGAAACCAAGUCCUGCACCUAGCUCCCUGCAGGGAGCCUGCUUCUCCCUCUGCCUGUGUCUCUGCCUCUCUGUGUCUCUC
This 944-nucleotide long non-coding RNA is filed under the name Vulpes vulpes (red fox). RNAcentral describes it as "lncRNA (ENSVVUG00000023063.1)". The record is from RNAcentral. Lineage: Eukaryota; Metazoa; Chordata; Mammalia; Carnivora; Canidae.